UACGUAGGGGGCCAGCGUUGCUCGGAAUUACUGGGUGUAAAGGGUUCGUAGGCGGUGUGGCAAGUCGGGAGUGAAAUCUCUGAGCUUAACUCAGGGCCUGCUUCCGAAACUGCUGUGCUAGAGUGUGGGAGAGGCGCGUGGAAUUGCAGGUGUAGCGGUGAAAUGCGUAGAUAUCUGCAGGAACACCCGUGGCGAAAGCGGCGCGCUGGACCACUACUGACGCUGAGGAACGAAAGCUAGGGGAGCAAACAGG
This 253-nucleotide ribosomal RNA is filed under the name uncultured bacterium. Its description in RNAcentral is "partial 16S ribosomal RNA". It matches the Rfam family "Bacterial small subunit ribosomal RNA", at positions 524 to 776 of the family's 1533-position model. The record is from RNAcentral.